AGAGUUUGAUCCUGGCUCAGAUUGAACGCUGGCGGCAGGCCUAACACAUGCAAGUCGAGCGGAAACGAGUUAUCUGAACCUUCGGGGAACGAUAACGGCGUCGAGCGGCGGACGGGUGAGUAAUGCCUGGGAAAUUGCCCUGAUGUGGGGGAUAACCAUUGGAAACGAUGGCUAAUACCGCAUAAUAGCUUCGGCUCAAAGAGGGGGACCUUCGGGCCUCUCGCGUCAGGAUAUGCCCAGGUGGGAUUAGCUAGUUGGUGAGGUAAGGGCUCACCAAGGCGACGAUCCCUAGCUGGUCUGAGAGGAUGAUCAGCCACACUGGAACUGAGACACGGUCCAGACUCCUACGGGAGGCAGCAGUGGGGAAUAUUGCACAAUGGGCGCAAGCCUGAUGCAGCCAUGCCGCGUGUAUGAAGAAGGCCUUCGGGUUGUAAAGUACUUUCAGCAGUGAGGAAGGUUCAUACGUUAAUAGCGUAUGGAUUUGACGUUAGCUGCAGAAGAAGCACCGGC
This 510-nucleotide ribosomal RNA is filed under the name uncultured Gammaproteobacteria bacterium. RNAcentral's name for it is "bacterial SSU rRNA". It matches the Rfam family "Bacterial small subunit ribosomal RNA", at positions 8 to 497 of the family's 1533-position model. The record is from RNAcentral. Lineage: Bacteria; Pseudomonadati; Pseudomonadota; Gammaproteobacteria.